UUAAAUUGAAGAGUUUGAUCAUGGCUCAGAUUGAACGCUGGCGGCAGGCCUAACACAUGCAAGUCGAACGGUAACAGGAAGCAGCUUGCUGCUUUGCUGACGAGUGGCGGACGGGUGAGUAAUGUCUGGGAAACUGCCCGAUGGAGGGGGAUAACUACUGGAAACGGUAGCUAAUACCGCAUAACGUCGCAAGACCAAAGAGGGGGACCUUAGGGCCUCUUGCCAUCGGAUGUGCCCAGAUGGGAUUAGCUAGUAGGUGGGGUAACGGCUCACCUAGGCGACGAUCCCUAGCUGGUCUGAGAGGAUGACCAGCCACACUGGAACUGAGACACGGUCCAGACUCCUACGGGAGGCAGCAGUGGGGAAUAUUGCACAAUGGGCGCAAGCCUGAUGCAGCCAUGCCGCGUGUAUGAAGAAGGCCUUCGGGUUGUAAAGUACUUUCAGCGGGGAG
RNAcentral lists this ribosomal RNA (451 nucleotides) under Escherichia coli. RNAcentral describes it as "bacterial SSU rRNA". It matches the Rfam family "Bacterial small subunit ribosomal RNA", at positions 1 to 446 of the family's 1533-position model. Lineage: Bacteria; Pseudomonadati; Pseudomonadota; Gammaproteobacteria; Enterobacterales; Enterobacteriaceae. The record is from RNAcentral.